Molecule: non-coding RNA, 124 nt
Organism: Triticum aestivum (bread wheat)
Lineage: Eukaryota; Viridiplantae; Streptophyta; Magnoliopsida; Poales; Poaceae
Source: Rfam
UAUUUACUCCCUCAGUCCGUAAAUACUUGUCCUUCAAAUGAUUGUAUCUAGACUUAUUUUAGUUAUAGAUAUAUCCAUUUUAUUCAUUUCAAGGACAAGUAUUUCUGGACGGAGGGAGUAUUUG